GACGAACGCUGACGGUGUGCUUUAGACAUGCAAGUCGAACGAGAAAGCCCUUCGGGGUGAGUACAGUGGCGAACGGGUGAGUAACACGUGGGCAAUCUGCCCCUCGCAGGGGGAUAACCGGGGGAAACCCCGGCUAAUACCCCGUACGCUUACGGAGCCGCAUGGCUCCGUAAGGAGAGGUAGCUUCGGCCAUCCGGCGAGGGAUGAGCCCGCGGUACAUUAGCUAGUUGGUAGGGUAACGGCCUACCAAGGCGACGAGUAUAGCUGGUCUGAGAGGAUGAUCAGCCACACUGGGGACUGAGACACGGCCCAGACUCCUACGGGAGGCAGCAGGUCGGGAAUCUUGCGCAAUGGGCGAAAGCCUGACGCAGCAACACCGUGUGAGCGACGAAGGCCUCGGUCGUAAG
This 407-nucleotide ribosomal RNA is filed under the name uncultured bacterium. Its description in RNAcentral is "bacterial SSU rRNA". It matches the Rfam family "Bacterial small subunit ribosomal RNA", at positions 28 to 429 of the family's 1533-position model. The record is from RNAcentral.